CACGAGCUUAUCUUAUUUCUUUGUUUUUUUCCCCCCCCCUCUCAAAGACACCAACAAAAGGCACUGAUUGGGAGCAGACGAAACACAGAAAUUCCACAUUUCGCUGCCUUCUGUGCGGCAGAAGCAGAGACCUUGGGAGGAUCUGCGACAUGCUGGGGCCCAGCCAGACAGUGAGCCUUGGGGGGGGGGGAACAGAUCUGCUGACAUACCGCGUCCUUGGGCUGCUGGGUGGGCGCCGAGCAGGCGGGAUGGGACAGUGCUCCAGGACACUGCAGUCGGCAGGAAGGGAGAUUGGCACGGGGACACCACGCAGUGCCUCGCCACCAGCUUUAAAUCCCCCCUCAACUCUGUAUUUCUUCCCUUCCCUGCAGCACAGCCUCCGCCAGCCCUGCCUGGAAGAGCCGCGCGUUAACCCCAGCCUGGUUUGUAGCAUAGAAAACCGAGAGCAUCCUUUUGGAUAUAAGCAGUGGGACGAGGGGCCAGCACAGCAGGCAUCCCUAUGGAUGGGAGUGGGGAUGGGCUGGUGUGAGGCACAGAGCACACGGGAGGGUCAUGAAGCAGCACGGGGUGAUGGCAGCUGCCAGCAGGGCACGGCACGGCACAGCCCUGCUCUGCACAUCGGUGCGUGCCCCUACACGGACAGGUGGUGCUAGGAAUGCUGCUGAGAUGUUUGCUCACUACGGGGCUGCUGGGAUGGAUCCUGCAACGCGAGCACCUCGUAGGGCACUGCAGCAGCACCAAACCACACUUUAUCAUCAACUCACACAGCACGGGAGCGGCUGCCCCUGGGACCCCCACUUCACCCAGGGAUGGCAUCCCAAAGGCACCUCCCAGCACAUCCCUGCCCAUCCCUCCAUCCCUCCCCAGGACAAUUCCAUGCCUUCGCCACGGCCCUGCAAGGUGCAGCUGUGUGCUCCCAGCAGAAGCAAUGCGCGGCCGCUCCCAUCCCACUCCAUCAACUCCUGUUACAUUGAAAGACAUCUUAAUUAAAGCCUCACAGCCCAACCUGGCAGAGGCCGGUGGGUCACGAAAAGGCAAAGGAUAAUUAAAUGAACCAUCCAAAUUCACCCCCCCGAGCACAGGGGAGUCACAUUUGGUAGCAAUGCAGAACGCCUCCAAAAAGACGUGUCGAAACAGGAGCUGCAAAGAGCAGAGCAAACCCCGAGCAGCACAGGCGUGAGUUAUGGAUGUUCAUCUGGUCAAGAACUGCAGAACCACUGAACCUCCUCCAGGGCACCUAAAUUGGGGCUCCCCCAGCUGCACAUGGAACAAGCACGAGUCCUGCAAACCCACCCCGAGCUCGCUGUUUGCACACACAGACUGCCAGCCCAGUGCCAAUCAGCACUACCCAAACACGCACAAAGCCCUUGGUGUGCAUUAACCCGCAGCGUGCCGCUCCCAGACAGACGAUGAGGGCACGGCUCUCCUGCCCAGCCCAGCAAACAGAGGGAGUGCUGCCCCGUGCCCUGGUGUCUGUGGGGUCGGGAAGCGCUGAUGUGGAGCAGGGCCAGCACCGGGCCUAACCACGGGGCAACGUGCCCUCCUGCUCCCCAAAAGACACUUCUCAAUACCGCCCCAACACACAGUGACCACCUGUGGGCUCUCUGCUAAUUCUCACGUUCUGAGCGGCCUCAGGAGAGGAGAGCGAAGCCGUGCAUUUCAGUUCCCCAUUCCUGAAGCAAACUCUUCCACUUCCAGGACAGCUGCAGAAAACGGAGCUCACUUCUGCUUUCUGCACGGAGAGAUGUGCAGGGGACGGUCACAGCGCCCGGCCCCUCCGGGCAGGCAGCAAAGGGCUGACAGGGCAAUGGAUGCAACCCAAGCGGUGCCUCCCACCCAUGUGCCACUCGCGGCGAUCUCGCAGCCCGCAGCGAGGCUAGCAGCUCCACGGGCAGCGGCAGGAAGGGGUGAGGAACACGUGGCAGACAGAAAAGCUCCAGAUACGAGCAAGUCGCAGCCACCCCGGCCGUGCUGGC
Gallus gallus (chicken) is the source of this 1976-nucleotide long non-coding RNA. NCBI's taxonomy places the organism in Eukaryota, Metazoa, Chordata, Aves, Galliformes, Phasianidae. The record is from Ensembl.